UGGGGAAUAUUGGACAAUGGGGGAAACCCUGAUCCAGCAAUGCCGCGUGUGUGAAGAAGGCCUUCGGGUUGUAAAGCACUUUCGGUUAGAAGAAAAAGCUUGUGGCUAAUACCCAUGAGUCUUGAUGUUAUCAACAGAAGAAGCACCGGCUAACUCUGUGCCAGCAGCCGCGGUAAUACAGAGGGUGCAAGCGUUAAUCGGAAUUAUUGGGCGUAAAGAGCACGUAGGCGGAUUGGAAAGUUGGAUGUGAAAUCCCCGGGCUCAACCUGGGAACUGCAUUCAAAACUCCCAGUCUAGAGUAUAGAAGAGGAGAGUGGAAUUUCCGGUGUAGCAGUGAAAUGCGUAGAUAUCGGAAGGAACAUCAGUGGCGAAGGCGACUCUCUGGUCUAAUACUGACGCUGAGGUGCGAAAGCGUGGGGAGCAAACAGG
Molecule: ribosomal RNA, 429 nt
Filed under: uncultured bacterium
Lineage: Bacteria
Description: bacterial SSU rRNA
Rfam family: Bacterial small subunit ribosomal RNA
Source: RNAcentral